GAUGAAGAACGCAGCAAAAUGCGAUAAGUAAUGUGAAUUGCAGAAUUCAGUGAAUCAUCGAAUCUUUGAACGCACAUUGCGCCCGCCAGUAUUCUGGCGGGCAUGCCUGUUCGAGCGUCAUUUCAACCAUCAAGCCCCCGGGCUUGUGUUGGGGACCUGCGGCUGCCGCAGGCCCUGAAAAGCAGUGGCGGGCUCGCUGUCACACCGAGCGUAGUAGAUUUUAUCUCGCUCUGGGCGUGCUGCGGGUUCCGGCCGUUAAACCACCCUUUUAACCCAAGGUUGACCUCGGAUCAGGUAGGAAGACCCGCUGAACUUAAGCAUAUCAAUAAGCGGAGGA
Molecule: unclassified non-coding RNA, 337 nt
Filed under: soil metagenome
Description: partial contains 5.8S ribosomal RNA, internal transcribed spacer 2, and large subunit ribosomal RNA
Rfam family: 5.8S ribosomal RNA (bases 1-120)
Source: RNAcentral